This is a regulatory RNA element of Cavia porcellus (domestic guinea pig), 295 nucleotides long. It matches the Rfam family "Mason-Pfizer monkey virus packaging signal". From Rfam's summary of the family: The packaging signal is located in the 5' UTR and is required for specific RNA encapsidation. The record is from Rfam. Lineage: Eukaryota; Metazoa; Chordata; Mammalia; Rodentia; Caviidae.
UGGUGCCCAACGUGCGGCUCCUGGCACGGGGAAGUUAACGAGGGAGCCGUUGGAGAACGCCGGCUGAAAGUGAAAGUAAACUGAAUCAAGGCUGAGGCCUGCGUGGACGACUGCCCAACGAGCCACCCAAGUCACGGUAAGUGAACAGCAACCCCAUCCCUUUCCCGGACAUGGGUCAAGCAUUGAGCGAACAUGAAUUGUUCGUGGGAGGCCUUAGCAAGGCAUUAAAGACAAGAGGGGUAAGGGUUAGAACAAAAGAAUUGUUGCAGUAUUUUCAGUUUAUUCAUAAAGUGUG